AUAGUGUCUGUUGCGUGAUUUGUACAGUAAAACCUGCAUAGACUUUCACCCUUAGAGUUCUUACUAAUUGCAAAAAUGCCACCGCUUACAUUACAACCAUAUAUGCGCAAAAGGCCACGUCUCUGUGCUCCACGCUACUGCAUUUGUACUCUGAAGUGAAGCUUCUCUCCAAAGCUGGGAUUUAAAAUUCAAAAUCUGAACUUUUGACCUAAUUUUCAUCAUUGAUGGCACUCAGAAGCUACAUCGGCUUUCCUUCUUAUUUCCUCCAUGGCAAAGUUGAAUUUUGUCGGGAAACUGUUCGAUGAUUUGUCCAAAAGAACAAGUUCGAUGAAUAUAUCAAUAUUCAGGAUAGCUUUAUAUUUUUAAUGGCGUUUAAUAUGGUUGGUGUUGGACCUUCACUUGCUAAUGCCUUCCGUAGAAUUCUUAUAGCUUAGGUAAGCCUUUUUCUGUUAUUUUUUUUGUAUAUACUGGAUUUAGUUGGUAUAUGUAAAGGUCAUUUUACCAUGCUGAUUAGUUAGGUUUUAGUGUUAUUUCAUUGUUUCUAUGUGCAGCUUUCUAUAUGUGGACAUUUUUAUUUCUUAUAUGUUGAUGCAUCUUGAUACCUUGAUAACUUAUAGGAGUGCUAAGCAUGUGUGGACAUUAUUUUCAUAUAAUAUACCAUAUAUGUUCUUCAUAAUUUUUUUAAAAUUAUUUUGACUUGCACACUGAUUGUAGGAGUUCCCGAAUCGAAUCUGUGCUUUAAGUAUAUCUCUUGCAAAUUUUGAUGUUGGUGUUAUAGGUCAUUAGCUGGGGAAAAUUUAUUGUCACAAGCCACGUCCAGGUACUUUAAUUGCUUUGUCAAAAUUGGAUAUUGUGGGUGAAUUAAUAGCUGGAGGUUCGGUAUAUUUCUUUGUGGUUCUAUACUUUUAUGUUUUUUCAAAUGGCACAUGAUUAUUAAUCAAUUUAUUUGUAAACAAAUUUCACUGAAUUAAGUUAGCUCUAUUAAUUUCUUGACUCAGAUGAUAAUAUAGUGUCACUGUCAGGAACGUGGAAUUGAGUUGCUACUGCAUGUUUCAUCUAUUAUAUCUUAGAUGACUAUUGCUGUAUUUUAGUCAUUUCAUUUGCUUAUGCGUCACUUCCAGGGCAGUAGGCUUGAAAGUUGAAACAUAGCACUCACGUUCAUAUGUAUGGUUGUUAUUAUUGCUGAUAGUAUUUUACAUAUGCAGGUCCCAGUUAGAGUUGCUGGAGGACUACUAUUUGAACUUUUAGGCCAGUCAGCAGGUGAUCCAUUUGCUCCUGAAAUACACACGACUAAUGGCUCAGUAUAUAGUUUUUUGCUCUAUUAUUAUACUUAAAUAUAACACAUCUUAAAGUUUUGCAGUAUUAGAGAAACUAUACUUUACACAAGAGUAUAAUAUUGUCUUUUCUUUACUUAUGUUGGUAUGUUAUUACAUGGGAACCAGGGCUGAUUCAUUAAUAUUAUCUGUUCCACCACCUAAAAAUAUUGACGGUUAAUUAGCUAAUUCAUGUUGCCUCAUUUCGUGGCGUUUAUUCAACUCUGAAGAUAUGAUUCAGGGUAUAGUACUUUCCUACUCAACUCCGAUUUGAAUGUUGCCUCAUUCUUCUUAGCUUAGGUAUUGUCUCUAGCUUUACUUUUAGGUUACAAAGUGCUUAAACAAAGAAAGACAGCAAGAAAUGUUAAGAGAUGAUGGUUUCAAGAAAACAGAGCCACAUGGUUUACGUUUGAACAGUUCAGAAGCCUCAGAAUUCUCUUCCAACAGCUCAGAAUUCUCUUCCAACAACUCAGCAUGCAAUAAUCUGAUGCCCUGUACAUAGUUGUUUCAUGAGUGCUGUCAAAUAUAUAAACUGUUAUACAUUGUCAUACUAUGAUCUUUAAUUACAUUUAUCUAUCUAUAUAAUAGUUUCUGAUCCGCGUUUUGUACAUUAAACUCAUGCUAAGUAAAUGACCCCUGCUUUCCUUCUAAUUUUAUUCUCCCUUUAUCUGUUUGAAUUUUUUUAAUUUGAAAGCCCUGCAACGCGGGCAUCAAUACUCUUUUUAAUUUUUUAGUUAGUGGUUUCAUGAAUACAGAGCCGCAAGAAUUUUUUGUGAACAAUUGCAGGUUAAACUUUCGUUGAUAAACUUGAUGAUUUGCCCAACAGAAAAAAUAUGGUAAAUUUGUCAAUUUUAGGUCUUUUUAUUUAAACGAUACACUAACUUUUUCAUACUAUGUUUAUUGAUGUUCAUGAUUUGAUAGUUAUUACAGCAGAGUCUGUUGGUUUGAAAGCAUGGUUUUGUGGUGGUAGUACAAAUGGAGCUCAUGUAUAUGCUAAUUAUUUAUAUCAUGUUACUCAAUAUUUCCCCAGUGAGAAAUAAUUUGCCUUCUUUACCUCCCAGGAUAGUGUUAUCUGAACCAAAUAAUAUAAUUGUAAUAGGUUUUGUGGAUGGUGCGAAUUGGAGGAGGUGUCUUCCCUGUCAUCAAGGAACUUGAUUAUCUUGUGAAUGGCGAGUAUCGAGUUGACAAAGGGGCAGCUCCAAAGAUGUUGAACUGUCUCAUGUUUGUAAUGGUUCUUCGUCAGUUAUACCUUUUUAGUUGAAGGUUCUAAUUCAAACAGGCAGCCACGCCUACAUCAGACCAGCUGCUCCCUCGGUAGUAGAAUCAGGAGCUCCCCCUGCUGUGGAACCAGAAGCUUCUACAUCUGCAGAAUCAGGAGUUCCCCCUCGAGCAGAAACAAGGGAAGAAUCAAGCGCGCUUGCAAUAGAAUCAGUAACUCUGCCUACCUCAGAGAAGUGAUGCAUCAAUACUUGAUAAUCUAAUUAGAGAUUGUACCGAUUAUGACUAUUAAGGCAUAGCUGGAAACUAUAAGGGUCAACUAAUUGAGGCUACUAGAGUGAUAUUUAAUGGAGCAUUGAAGCACAUUAUGCAUAAGCAGUUGCUGUCCGGAGAGUGCUUAGCUGGCUUAAACAACAAGCGACAGAGGAGGAAAAAGAACACGAAAAUACAGUACAAUUACACAACCUCACGGUUCAUAGCUGGAAACUAAAGGGUGAACCAAUUGAGGCUACUAUAGUGAUGUUUAAUGGAGCAUUGAAGCACAUUAUGCAUAAGCAGUUGGUGUCCGGAGCGGAGAGUGCUUAGCUGGGCUUAUGCAACAAGCCAUAGAGGAGGAAAAGAACACCAAAGUACAGUACAAUCAGACCUCCUCAUGGUAAUCCAGGCCAUGAAUAGGUCAUAACAAGUUUUGGUGUAAAUAGAAUGCAAAUGAAAUAAGUUGUCAAGAUUUAUUUUACAUUUAUGAACAAAAUUUAAUUGAUGACCGUGUUUUGUUUUGUUAACUCUGUAUUGUUAUAACUUAUAUAGCUGGACAUAUCAUAUAAAAUAUUUUGGUGUUUUAUAUAGUAAU
Long non-coding RNA from Daucus carota subsp. sativus, 3381 nucleotides. RefSeq lists it as uncharacterized. The record is from RefSeq and is a predicted model, not a curated record. The transcript has 7 exons. NCBI's taxonomy places the organism in Eukaryota, Viridiplantae, Streptophyta, Magnoliopsida, Apiales, Apiaceae.